GGAUCAUUAAAGAGUGUAAAAACUCCCAAACCCAUGUGAACAUACCUAUCGUUGCUUCGGCAGGUCGCUCGACUGCCGGGAGGAACGCCCCUCGGGGCCGCCCUGCCCGGGAGCCCGCGCGCCUGCCGGUGGCCCCGGAAACUCUGUUUAUACUGAAUCUCUGAAUCAUAACUAAAUAAGUUAAAACUUUCAACAACGGAUCUCUUGGUUCUGGCAUCGAUGAAGAACGCAGCGAAAUGCGAUAAGUAAUGUGAAUUGCAGAAUUCAGUGAAUCAUCGAAUCUUUGAACGCACAUUGCGCCCGCCAGUAUUCUGGCGGGCAUGCCUGUUCGAGCGUCAUUUCAACCCUCAAGCCCCUGUUGCUUGGCGUUGGGAGCCUACGCGCCAGCGUAGCUCCUCAAAGUGAGUGGCGGAGUCGGUUCAAACUCUAGGUGUAGUAAGUCUAUUCUCGCCUCUGCAGUUGGGCCGCCCCCUGCCGUAAAACACCCCAAUUUCUAAAGGUUGACCUCGGAUCAGGUAGGAAUACCCGCUGAACUUAAGCAUAUCAAUAAGCGGAGGAAAAGAAACCAACAGGGAUUGCCCUAGUAACGGCGAGUGAAGCGGCAACAGCUCAAAUUUGAAAUCUGGCCCUCGGGUCCGAGUUGUAAUUUGUAGAGGAUGCUUUUGGCGCGGUGCCUUCCGAGUUCCCUGGAACGGGACGCCUUAGAGGGUGAGAGCCCCGUACGGUUGGACACCAAGCCUCUGUAAAGCUCCUUCGACGAGUCGAGUAGUUUGGGAAUGCUGCUCUAAAUGGGAGGUAAAUUUCUUCUAAAGCUAAAUAUUGGCCAGAGACCGAUAGCGCACAAGUAGAGUGAUCGAAAGAUGAAAAGCACUUUGAAAAGAGGGUUAAAUAGCACGUGAAAUUGUUGAAAGGGAAGCGUUUGCGACCAGACCUUUUCCUGGCGGAUCAUCCGGUGUUCUCACCGGUGCACUUCGCCAGGUUGAGGCCAGCAUCGGUUUCCGCAGGGGGAUAAAAGCUUGGGGAAUGUGGCUCCUCCGGGAGUGUUAUAGCCCCUCGCAUAAUGCCCUUGCGGGGACCGAGGACCGC
RNAcentral lists this ribosomal RNA (1086 nucleotides) under Xylariaceae sp. genotype 347. RNAcentral describes it as "eukaryotic LSU rRNA". The stretch from base 502 to 1086 matches the Rfam family "Eukaryotic large subunit ribosomal RNA", at positions 1 to 596 of the family's 3401-position model. Lineage: Eukaryota; Fungi; Ascomycota; Sordariomycetes; Xylariales; Xylariaceae. The record is from RNAcentral.